This 260-nucleotide unclassified non-coding RNA is filed under the name uncultured Russula. RNAcentral's name for it is "sequence contains ITS2". The record is from RNAcentral. Lineage: Eukaryota; Fungi; Basidiomycota; Agaricomycetes; Russulales; Russulaceae.
AAUUUUCAAAAUCCUUUUCUUUGAUCGGAAUAGGACUUUUGGACUUGGAGGUUCAAUGCUCGCUUUCGCCUUUGAAAGUGGGCUCCUCUCAAAUAUAUUAGUGGGGUUCGCUUUGUCGAUCCUUGACGUGAUAAGAUGUUUCUACGUUUUGGAUCUGGCACUGUUUUAUGGAUGUCCGCUCCUAAUCGUCCCAUGGACAACGAUGGUGUUUCGGUCACCGCCGUCUACGGUUGGCGGGAGGCUGGACCCACAAAAAGAAA